RNAcentral lists this long non-coding RNA (273 nucleotides) under Carica papaya (papaya). Its description in RNAcentral is "long non-coding RNA (CPAP_LNC010114)". Lineage: Eukaryota; Viridiplantae; Streptophyta; Magnoliopsida; Brassicales; Caricaceae. The record is from RNAcentral.
UCACGUCCCCCUUUCUGGCAAAGGUGACUCUGGCGCUCCAAGGGGACACACUAUGUCGAAUAAACCAAUUAUCCUGCAGUUCAGUGAUCUGUUUCCUCAAUUCCUCCAUCUCAAUACGGCUCAUGCGGUAAGGAGCAAUCGAAAUGUGCUAAGCUCCUAGAUGAAGGUCUAUAGCGAAUUCAACUUCUCUGUCCACUUGCAGUUCGGGCAGUUCAUCCAAAAACAUAUCUGAAAAUUCUCAGACUACCAGAAUCUCUUGAAUACAAAUCUCUU